ACUAAUAAUAAAUCAAAAUGGUAUUUUUUUUCCUUUAUAACUAUUUAUCUUAUAAUAUUUAAUAAUAAUUUUCUCAUAAUAUCCAUACAUAAUAUCUACUAGACAUGAAUUCCAACUAAAUAAUAAAACUCUAUAAGAGGACAAAGAUCUUCAGAUGGCUAUUGACCAAUUAUUUACAAACAUCUUAAGAAAUAUUAAAGAACUAAAGGACUUGAUUACUUGAUUCUUUGAGGAUCUAUAUACCUAAUUAAUAUUUUUUCAUCAAACAAACUUAUCACCUUCUAGAAAACCAAACAACUUAAUUAUAAUAGAAGACAAAGAAGUAAGAAGCAUGUACCUCCAUAUUUUGAUCGGCCUAUACAUAUCAAC
This 369-nucleotide long non-coding RNA is filed under the name Physcomitrium patens. RNAcentral's name for it is "long non-coding RNA (PPAT_LNC004318)". Lineage: Eukaryota; Viridiplantae; Streptophyta; Bryopsida; Funariales; Funariaceae. The record is from RNAcentral.